CUCCCACUCUACUCCUCCCCACUCCCACCCACAUCGACUGUCGACAUUGCCACCCAAAGGCCAGCCACCACUACCACCUACAUAUUGUCGUCAACGCAGCCCAAAGGCAGCAACCACCGUCAUCCACACAUUCAUGAUCUUCUGCGCUCAAACAAAGAAAGGGGAGUUUACAGAUUCAAGAAAUGGUUUCACUGUUGAAUGUUCAGAGUUUUCUUCAUAGCCACCCAUUUCCCCACCAAAUUUCCGUUUUCUUCACAAUUCUGGAGCAGCUUUUUGGAUUUUUCGAGUAGGGUUGUUGAAUUUAAUGUUGAAAUCCCAUGUAGGCAUUUUCGUGUUUUUUUGGAUUGGGUGGUGGAGGCAUUUUCGGAUUUUUUUAAAUUGGUUGGUGGAGCAAUUUUUGGAUUUUUUUUAAUUGAGUUUGAAGUUUGAAAAUGCGUAGUUACCGACAAUGGUGAUGGUGACGAGAUCGGUAUUGAUGUUCGUGAAUGAUUU
Molecule: long non-coding RNA, 492 nt
Filed under: Olea europaea subsp. europaea
Lineage: Eukaryota; Viridiplantae; Streptophyta; Magnoliopsida; Lamiales; Oleaceae
Source: RNAcentral